This 958-nucleotide ribosomal RNA is filed under the name Clavariadelphus truncatus. RNAcentral describes it as "eukaryotic LSU rRNA". The stretch from base 699 to 958 matches the Rfam family "Eukaryotic large subunit ribosomal RNA", at positions 1 to 256 of the family's 3401-position model. Lineage: Eukaryota; Fungi; Basidiomycota; Agaricomycetes; Gomphales; Clavariadelphaceae. The record is from RNAcentral.
AUUCUNCCCCUCUAUGACGCCCUGUUCCAAGGGACUUGUACACGGUCCGGCACAGAAAACACUUCUCCAGAUUACAACUCGGACAGCCAAAGGCUGCCAGAUUACAAAUUUGAGCUCUUCCCGCUUCACUCGCCGUUACUAGGGGAAUCCUUGUUAGUUUCUUUUCCUCUUGGUCAAUUUAGAGGAAGUAAAAGUCGUAACAAGGUUUCCGUAGGUGAACCUGCGGAAGGAUCAUUACAGUAAUUGGGUUGUCGCUCAAAGUAGCACGCCCUCCAUAUACACACACACCUUGUGCACUCUAUCUAUUACAGCCUGUCUCUAAUGCAUGUCUUGAUAAAUUCUACGGAAUAGAAUACAACUUUCAACAACGGAUCUCUUGGCUUUCGCAUCGAUGAAGGACGCCGCGAAAGUGCGAAACGUAAUGUGAAUUGCAGAAUUCAGUGAAUCAUCGAAUCUUUGAACGCAUCUUGCGCUCCUUGGUAUUCCGAGGAGCAUGCCUGUUUGAGUGUCGUGAAUCUCUCUCAAUCCCACCUCUGUGGGCUUGGAUUUGGAUGCUUGCUGUGGGGGGUUUGACCUCUUUCGGCUCGUCUUGAAAUUCAUCAGCUGGUCCGCCUAUGAGUUUGGUGGUGUGAUAAGAAACACUUGUAGCGCCAUUUCUAAGCUCGGGGGAGUUGACUGCUUUCAAUUUCAUUUUUGUUUGACCUCAAAUCAGGUAGGACYACCCGCUGAACUUAAGCAUAUCAAUAAGCGGAGGAAAAGAAACUAACAAGGAUUCCCCUAGUAACGGCGAGUGAAGCGGGAAGAGCUCAAAUUUGUAAUCUGGCAGCCUUUGGCUGUCCGAGUUGUAAUCUGGAGAAGUGUUUUCUGUGCCGGACCGUGUACAAGUCCCUUGGAACAGGGCGUCAUAGAGGGGGAAGAAUCCANGUUACUACUAUUACUUCCUCUAAAAGACNNAGAA